RNAcentral lists this ribosomal RNA (356 nucleotides) under uncultured soil bacterium. RNAcentral describes it as "bacterial SSU rRNA". It matches the Rfam family "Bacterial small subunit ribosomal RNA", at positions 26 to 367 of the family's 1533-position model. The record is from RNAcentral.
AGAAUCAACGCUGGCGGCGUGCCUAACACAUGCAAGUCGAACGCGAAAGCCCCGCAAGGGGUAAGUAGAGUGGCAAACGGGUGAGUAACUCGUGGGUGAUCUGCCUCAGAGUGGGGGAUAACGACCCGAAAGGGUCGCUAAUACCGCAUAACAUCCUGCCUUUGGAUAGGUGGAGAUCAAAGUUGGGGAUCCGCAAGGACCUGACGCUUGGAGAGGAGCCCGCGGCCGAUUAGCUAGUUGGUGAAGUAACGGCUCACCAAGGCAACGAUCGGUAUCCGGCUGAGAGGGCGGACGACACACUGGGACUGAGACACGGCCCAGACUCCGUACGGGAGCAGCUAGGUGGGGAAUUGUCG